RNAcentral lists this ribosomal RNA (738 nucleotides) under Triticum aestivum (bread wheat). Its description in RNAcentral is "partial small subunit ribosomal RNA". Lineage: Eukaryota; Viridiplantae; Streptophyta; Magnoliopsida; Poales; Poaceae. The record is from RNAcentral.
AUGUACCAGGCCAUCCCGGGGAGACCUGCGCUCUCCCGGAUCCCUCCGACUCCCGGUCGUGCUUGCCUCAUGCCGGAUGACUUCGACAUCUACUCUUGUGGCGACGACGGGGAAUACGUCCUGGCCGGUCUCUGUGUGACACCCGUUGUUUGGGCGCAUGAACUCCACUCGUACUCGUCCAAGUCUAAUGUUUGGACUACGAAACCUGCUCGCCUGGUGAGACGGCCGACGGAGGACCACCUCCCUGUCAAGUUGCACAAGGUCAUCCUUCUUGGAGGAAGCCUGCUAGGCUGGGUCGAUCUUUCUAAGGGUAUACUUGUGUGCGACGUGCUCUCACAAGAUCCCCAGCAUGAUGUGUGGUUCAUCCCACUUCCUGAGCUGAUGCCCGGGAAUAAGGGCGAUCAUAUAUGCCCGUGGAUCAUCCGGGACGUCGCUUGCACCAACGGAUCGCUCAAGUUCAUCAAGAUCGAACGCCUUUAUGUACCCGCUCCGGUCGAAGAAAGUGUGGCGGCAUGUGAUUUGGAUACAAUGUAUGAUGACCGGUGCUUUGAGAGUCCGCCACCGGAUUAUCUGAACAUGAAGCCACCCGUAUUCGUUGGUUGGAGGGCCAUCAUAUGGAAUAGAGCGGUUUCCGACAACUGCUGGCGCAAGGGUGCGUGGUUCAUGUCGAUGACAUAUUGGUUGAGAACCCACACCACUCUGCUUUGCUGGCCCAGCUGGAUGGAAACUCGACGAUAA